This is a long non-coding RNA of Malaclemys terrapin pileata, 278 nucleotides long. RefSeq lists it as uncharacterized. NCBI's taxonomy places the organism in Eukaryota, Metazoa, Chordata, Testudines, Emydidae. The record is from RefSeq and is a predicted model, not a curated record. The transcript has 3 exons.
CUUAGACUGGCUAUGACAGUUACCUCACUGGUAACAAGGACUGCAGGGAACUUCAAGCAGAAGAAAUACCCAGUAGUGAGCAGAGGCUGUUACCAGAGCAAGCAAGAACUUGACUCACGCUAGGAAAUCCCAGUCCACGUGCCUGGCCCCUGGAUGGAGAAGAAUGAAAGCCUGCUACCAAAUGGAUGAAAAUGAAUGCCCCAGCUAUUCAGCUACACCAUAGUUGUCAUCACUAUCAUGUUGAACAGUCGUAUCCUAAUUGUCGCAUAGACAUCCUG